UACAGAGGGUGCGAGCGUUAAUCGGAAUUACUGGGCGUAAAGGGCUCGUAGGCGGUUUGUCGCGUCGGGAGUGAAAACCUCGGGCUUAACUCGGGGCUUGCUUUCGAUACGGGCAGACUGGAGGUAUGCAGGGGAGAACGGAAUUCCUGGUGUAGCGGUGAAAUGCGCAGAUAUCAGGAGGAACACCGGUGGCGAAGGCGGUUCUCUGGGCAUGACCUGACGCUGAGGAGCGAAAGUGUGGGGAGCGAACAGG
RNAcentral lists this ribosomal RNA (253 nucleotides) under uncultured bacterium. RNAcentral describes it as "partial 16S ribosomal RNA". It matches the Rfam family "Bacterial small subunit ribosomal RNA", at positions 524 to 776 of the family's 1533-position model. The record is from RNAcentral.